GUGUCAGCAGCCGCGGUAAGACGAACCGUGCGAACGUUGUUCGGAAUCACUGGGCUUAAAGGGCGCGUAGGCGGGUUCUCCAGUCAGGGGUGAAAUCGUUCGGCUCAACCGGACAAGUGCCCCUGAUACUGAGAGUCUCGAGGGAGGUAGGGGCAUGUGGAACUUCCGGUGGAGCGGUGAAAUGCGUAGAUAUCGGAAGGAACGCCGGUGGCGAAAGCGACGUGCUGGACCUCUUCUGACGCUGAGGCGCGAAAGCCAGGGGAGCAAACGGGAUUAGAAACCCUCGUAGUCC
RNAcentral lists this ribosomal RNA (292 nucleotides) under uncultured bacterium. RNAcentral's name for it is "partial 16S ribosomal RNA". It matches the Rfam family "Bacterial small subunit ribosomal RNA", at positions 505 to 796 of the family's 1533-position model. The record is from RNAcentral.